UUCUUAGACGAUCCUGUACCUGUCGUGCUUUCUUUUCUCUUUUUAAGAUCGCCAUUUGUUAGAGAAUCAGGGACUGCAUUGCUGUAAUGAACAACAUUCGUGACGAUAGCAUAGCUUUUGGAAAAUGAUAUCCUUGUCAAAGUUGAAGCAGUCAGUUGAUGUCUGUAACAAUGUAAUUUCAGUGCUUCUCAGCAGGAUCCAUCUCCUUUGGAGGUAAGGCAUCCUGCUCAUACAUCGGCAUAGAGAUAUACUCAGAGGGGAAGACAAAUAUGCAGACACAUAAACAAGUAAAUGUUUUUCCAGUCCUUAAACUAGCAUAAAAUCUUUCAAUUUCUACUUUUCAGUGAAUGCGCAUAGAAAUUUGUACUUUCUCUAUCAUAUUACUAUAUUGUUGUACAAUUGGGAUUCAAUGGUGAACAAUGUUGUAAGUUGUACCUCCCAGUCAAGGACUGUAUCCUUAAGUCUUGUCCCACA
Non-coding RNA from Cicer arietinum (chickpea), 474 nucleotides. NCBI's taxonomy places the organism in Eukaryota, Viridiplantae, Streptophyta, Magnoliopsida, Fabales, Fabaceae. The record is from RefSeq and is a predicted model, not a curated record.